GAUGAACGCUGGCGGCGUGCCUAAUACAUGCAAGUCGAGCGAACAGAUAAGGAGCUUGCUCCUUUGACGUUAGCGGCGGACGGGUGAGUAACACGUGGGUAACCUACCUAUAAGACUGGAAUAACUCCGGGAAACCGGGGCUAAUGCCGGAUAACAUUUAGAACCGCAUGGUUCUAAAGUGAAAGAUGGUUUUGCUAUCACUUAUAGAUGGACCCGCGCCGUAUUAGCUAGUUGGUAAGGUAGCGGCUUACCAAGGCAACGAUACGUAGCCGACCUGAGAGGGUGAUCGGCCACACUGGAACUGAGACACGGUCCAGACUCCUACGGGAGGCAGCAGUAGGGAAUCUUCCGCAAUGGGCGAAAGCCUGACGGAGCAACGCCGCGUGAGUGAUGAAGGUCUUCGGACCGUAAAACUCUGUUAUUAGGGAAGAACAAAUGUGUAAGUAACUGUGCACGUCUUGACGGUACCUAAUCAGAAAGCCACGGCUAACUACGUG
This 497-nucleotide ribosomal RNA is filed under the name uncultured bacterium. Its description in RNAcentral is "partial 16S ribosomal RNA". It matches the Rfam family "Bacterial small subunit ribosomal RNA", at positions 28 to 507 of the family's 1533-position model. The record is from RNAcentral.